GAUGAACGCUAGCGGAAGGCCUAAUACAUGCAAGUCGAACGGGCAUAUUGAUUUCGGUUAAUAUGUUAGUGGCGCACGGGUGAGUAACGCGUACACAACCUACCUUAUAUUGGGGGAUAGCCCUGGGAAACUGGGAGUAAUACCGCAUAACAUUAUAGAGAGGCAUCUUUUAUAAUAAAGCAUUUGCGAUAUAAGAUGGGUGUGCGUCUGAUUAGGUAGUUGGUGGGGUAAAGGCCUACCAAGCCUGUGAUCUGUAGCUGGUUUGAGAGGAUGAUCAGCCACACUGGGACUGAGACACGGCCCAGACUCCUACGGGAGGCAGCAGUGGGGAAUAUUGGACAAUGGGGGGAAACCCUGAUCCAGCAAUGCCGCGUGAAUGAAGAAGGCCUUAGGGUUGUAAAGUUCUUUGUCCGUGACGAUAAUGACGGUAGCGGACGAAUAAGCCCUGGCUAACUCUGUGCCAGCAGCCGCGGUAAUGUACAGUGU
This 486-nucleotide ribosomal RNA is filed under the name uncultured bacterium. RNAcentral's name for it is "bacterial SSU rRNA". It matches the Rfam family "Bacterial small subunit ribosomal RNA", at positions 28 to 533 of the family's 1533-position model. The record is from RNAcentral.